Molecule: ribosomal RNA, 468 nt
Filed under: uncultured bacterium
Lineage: Bacteria
Description: partial 16S ribosomal RNA
Rfam family: Bacterial small subunit ribosomal RNA
Source: RNAcentral
GACGAACGCUGGCGGCGUGCUUAACACAUGCAAGUCGAACGGAAAGGCCCUGCUUUUGUGGGGUGCUCGAGUGGCGAACGGGUGAGUAACACGUGAGUAACCUGCCCUUGACUUUGGGAUAACUUCAGGAAACUGGGGCUAAUACCGGAUAGGAGCUCCUGCUGCAUGGUGGGGGUUGGAAAGUUUCGGCGGUUGGGGAUGGACUCGCGGCUUAUCAGCUUGUUGGUGGGGUAGUGGCUUACCAAGGCUUUGACGGGUAGCCGGCCUGAGAGGGUGACCGGCCAUAUGGGGAGUGAGAUAGGGCCCAGCCUCCUGCGGGGGGCAGCAGUGGGAAAUUUGGAAAAAGGGGCGGAGGCCGGAGGCAGCAGCGCCGGGUGGGGGAGGAGGGCCUUGGGUUUGUAACCCGUUUUCGCCUGUGACGAGGGGUGGGUGAGGGUAAGGGGUAAAGAAGCACCGGCAAACUCCGUG